GCGGGAAUAGCUCAGUUGGUAGAGCACGACCUUGCCAAGGUCGGGGUCGCGAGUUCGAGUCUCGUUUCCCGGAGUUCGAGUCUCGUUUCCCGCUCCA
RNAcentral lists this transfer RNA (97 nucleotides) under Escherichia coli. Its description in RNAcentral is "tRNA-Gly". The stretch from base 1 to 73 matches the Rfam family "tRNA". Rfam says of the family: Transfer RNA (tRNA) molecules are approximately 80 nucleotides in length. Their secondary structure includes four short double-helical elements and three loops (D, anti-codon, and T loops). Further hydrogen bonds mediate the characteristic L-shaped molecular structure. tRNAs have two regions of fundamental functional importance: the anti-codon, which is responsible for specific mRNA codon recognition, and the 3' end, to which the tRNAs corresponding amino acid is attached (by aminoacyl-tRNA synthetases). tRNAs cope with the degeneracy of the genetic code in two manners: having more than one tRNA (with a specific anti-codon) for a particular amino acid; and 'wobble' base-pairing, i.e. permitting non-standard base-pairing at the 3rd anti-codon position. Lineage: Bacteria; Pseudomonadati; Pseudomonadota; Gammaproteobacteria; Enterobacterales; Enterobacteriaceae. The record is from RNAcentral.